This 468-nucleotide ribosomal RNA is filed under the name uncultured bacterium. RNAcentral's name for it is "partial 16S ribosomal RNA". It matches the Rfam family "Bacterial small subunit ribosomal RNA", at positions 28 to 507 of the family's 1533-position model. The record is from RNAcentral.
GACGAACGCUGGCGGCGUGCUUAACACAUGCAAGUCGAACGGAAAGGCCCUGCUUUUGUGGGGUGCUCGAGUGGCGAACGGGUGAGUAACACGUGAGUAACCUGCCCUUGACUUUGGGAUAACUUCAGGAAACUGGGGCUAAUACCGGAUAGGAGCUCCUGCUGCAUGGUGGGGGUUGGAAAGUUUCGGCGGUUGGGGAUGGACUCGCGGCUUAUCAGCUUGUUGGUGGGGUAGUGGCUUACCAAGGCUUUGACGGGUAGCCGGCCUGAGAGGGUGACCGGCCACCUUGGGCCUGCGCUACGGCCCAGACUCCUACGGGAGGCAGCAGUGGGGAAUAUUGCACAAUGGGCGGAAGCCUGAUGCAGCAACGCCGCGUGCGGGAUGACGGCCUUCGGGUUGUAAACCGCUUUCGCCUGUGACGAAGCGUGAGUGACGGUAAUGGGUAAAGAAGCACCGGCUAACUACGUG